Molecule: ribosomal RNA, 490 nt
Filed under: uncultured bacterium
Lineage: Bacteria
Description: partial 16S ribosomal RNA
Rfam family: Bacterial small subunit ribosomal RNA
Source: RNAcentral
AUUGAACGCUGGCGGCAUGCCUUACACAUGCAAGUCGAACGGCAGCAUGAUCUAGCUUGCUAGAUUGAUGGCGAGUGGCGAACGUGUGAGUAAUACAUCGGAACGUGCCCUGUAGUGGGGGAUAACUAGUCGAAAGAUUAGCUAAUACCGCAUACGACCUGAGGGUGAAAGUGGGGGACCGCAAGGCCUCAUGCUAUAGGAGCGGCCGAUGUCUGAUUAGCUAGUUGGUGGGGUAAAGGCCCACCAAGGCGACGAUCAGUAGCUGGUCUGAGAGGACGAUCAGCCACACUGGGACUGAGACACGGCCCAGACUCCUACGGGAGGCAGCAGUGGGGAAUUUUGGACAAUGGGGGCAACCCUGAUCCAGCAAUGCCGCGUGUGUGAAGAAGGCCUUCGGGUUGUAAAGCACUUUUGUCCGGAAAGAAAUCGCACUUACUAAUAUUAGGUGUGGAUGACGGUACCGGAAGAAUAAGGACCGGCUAACUACGUG